Molecule: unclassified non-coding RNA, 426 nt
Filed under: Hevea brasiliensis (rubber tree)
Lineage: Eukaryota; Viridiplantae; Streptophyta; Magnoliopsida; Malpighiales; Euphorbiaceae
Source: RNAcentral
AUUAAUCCCAAAGUCUCAGCUUCAGCCCCCAAUUCCUUGUCCAAAAGCAACCUAUUCUCUGAAGCAGAAUAUUCCCUCUUAUUCCACAGCUUCUUCACUGCAACAACCUCUCCGCUUCUCAGUUCAAUUCUGUACACUGCCCCAGACCCUCCACGGCCCACAAUGUUAUCAUCAAUAAUUCCUUCGAUGAUCUCUUGUUGGUCAAAACAUGUUUUAUGGAAGCUCUUUACAUCGUAUGAAAUGAGUGACGAAGACAUGGUCUCAUCAUGUUCCGUGAAUCUUUCUUUACUGUGUUUAAGUAUUACAAACAAGAGUGCCCCAAGAAUAAUGAUAACUAAUGGAAUUCCGAUAACCAAAAUAAGAUAUAGUCUCUUUUUGUGGUAGUAAGUCUGUGAGCAUAUGGGGAAUUUUGAUAUGACGAUACAG